Ailuropoda melanoleuca (giant panda) is the source of this 2061-nucleotide long non-coding RNA. RefSeq lists it as uncharacterized. Lineage: Eukaryota; Metazoa; Chordata; Mammalia; Carnivora; Ursidae. The record is from RefSeq and is a predicted model, not a curated record. The transcript has 4 exons.
GAGGGAUCCCAAGGAAAAGGCCAAGGGGGUGGGUGCUCUGGGGGCAGAGGAUGGGCAGAGUGUGUGUGACAAACCGUCGUGGGAGACCUGCAGGAGAGAAGGGGGGAGCAGAGCCCAGGUGAGCAAAAGCUUGAGCAGAGAGAGGGGACAAACAGUGGGGGUGACUCCAGGAAACGUUUGGAGCUUGCAGGGCGUGGGCUGGAAACAAUGCUUGGGCGCGUCUGGGCCCUUCUGACUGGAAAGCGGGAUCUUUCUGGGGAUGGCUGAUGAGCCCAAGUUUCCAACAGGCGGAAGGUGCUUCUGAAGACCCAUGAGGCAGAGAGUCUCUGGCAGGCAGGCGGGCAGCGGUUAAGCUUGGGCAGGGCAGGAGAAAUUGGGGUGGGGGGUGUCCAGGAGAGAGAAGGUCGCUGCCCUGGGGAUGGGCAGGAGGGGUAGUUCCUACCAGUUUACCCACCUGUGGAGACCAAAUAAGCGCAAGAAGAAAUCUGAGAGCUGUGCAAGUGCGCUGACAAGCAGUUCCCAAAGGGCCUGGUAGAUUCAAGAAGUUUCUUUGGUAAGUAAAUACACACGUAGGCCUUGAGAAGCAGGAAGUGGUUAUCCUGGGAGGUGGACUCACAGGUGAAUGUUGGUUUUCUUCUGUCUGCUUUUUUCUGUUUUCCAUGUUCUAAUGAGAAUGUGUGAUCCCGGAAGCCAGACAAAGGACCCAAUAAAAGUGAUUUACUCACAAGAGGAGUCUUCAGUAUAGAGCCAGAUGUCACCAAGAGGUCAGAUGUCACCAAGAGGUCAGAUGUCACCAAGAGAUUUGGUGGCGUUGCAGAUUGAAGAAGACUGCUGAUAGGCAUGGUGCUGCAAACACCUUUUUGAGUUCACUGUCUUUCUCACCGUUUCUGAGGGCUGUGGUAGUUACUGCUGUACUCAGAGACUUCUACAAAAGCUUCCUGCAAACGUGCUUUAUCUUCAGAGGAAUUCAUGGAAAGGAAUCUGACAAGUAUACUCCAAUACAGAUACAUCUGAACCGGUAGGAACAAAGACGGCUUUUGAAUGUCCUUGGAAGGGACCUACGGCAGGACCUAGGGCAGGUCCUCCAGAUGGCAGCCAAACGUCUUGGAGCUGGGAAAGGCUCCACCUGACGUCCGGUCCUACACAGUGCUGGGGACCUCCCGUGCGAGUGAUGAGGAAGAAAAGUAGCCCACAUCGGGGUAGACUGCGCCCUCCAAGAUGCCGAUCGCACAUUAACUGAAUAGGAAACCUUUCUUUUUCUUACUCUAGCACUGGCCUGGAAAGAUGAUAUCAUCGGUGUGUCUCAGGCCGUUGCGGAGGGAUCUAACCGUGGCCUUUCAGACAGCUGGAUUUGUCAUCCAAAGCUCCUGUCUGUCCGUUCACAGCUGCACCUUAGUGGACCUAGCUGCUGAGCACCGAGUGUGGGAUCUCCCGAAGACUGGACUGUCAGAAAAGGAGUGAAGAGGACAACUGACUUAAAUAGUAGGAACUUUGGGACACCUGGUCGGCUCAGUUGGUGGAGCAUGCAACUUUUUUCUGUAACAUGCAACUCUUGAUGUCUGGGUUGUGAGUUCAAGCCCCAUGUUGGGCGUAGAGAUGACUUAAAAACAAUUCUGAACCUGAAGUUGUAACCUGUGACUAACCGUGGUCGGAGAAUGCCUUACAUUUUGGUCACCCGUCUCAGUUAAGCUUAGAAUCUAAUCAAAAGGGAGAUAUCGCUAAAAAGAAAACCACAGGCCCCACAUGGAGUCACUUAUGUUAAGGCCCCACAUCAGCAAACCAAGACUUAAUACCUAACCUGAUUGUCCUUUCAAUCCCCCCAGGAAUGUGACUUCUAACCAGUCAACCUGGAAGUGCCUGGGCGGCACUAGGAAAUUUACAGAUAGACCCCUCCUGUGCCCCUUAGGAGGGAGACCUUACCUAAAGCAGUGCCCUCUUUGCUGAUAAUACCCUCCCUUCCCCUCCCCUCUGCCUUUACAAAUCUUUCUUUUUCUGCGGUUGCACAAAGCUUUUUUCUGUGUGCUGGGGUGGGAUGCUGCCUGAAUCAUGAACUGUUCAAUA